Molecule: non-coding RNA, 797 nt
Filed under: Zicrona caerulea
Lineage: Eukaryota; Metazoa; Arthropoda; Insecta; Hemiptera; Pentatomidae
Source: RNAcentral
AUAAAAUUUGAUUCUGGUUUUAAAAAUUUUUAUUAAGUAAUAUAUAACAUGUAAAUAUUUGUGUGUUAAAGAGUAUAAUUUAAAAAAUUUAUUCUAAAUUUUUAUUUAAUCGCAGUUUUUAUUUUUAAAUAUCUAAUAAAUUAGGAUUUAGUUAAUUUUAAUAUGGUUAGCAAAAAUUGUGCCAGCAGCUGCGGUUAUACAAUUGACCAAUAUUAUUAUUAUUAGGAGAUUAUUAAUCUUUGAUUAGUUGAUUAUAUCAUUAAUUUUAAUUUUUAAGUGAAAUUUAAAUUUUAAUAUAAGAUUUAGGUAAUUUAUAGAAAUUAUAAGAAAUUCUUGAUUGAGACUAGGAUUAGAUACCCUAUUAUUUUGAAUGUAAAAUUUUUCCUCAUUAUUAAUAGUUAAGAUCUUUAAAUUGAAAGAAUUUGACGGUAAUUUUAAUCAUUUUAGAGGAACCUGUUCUGUAAUCGACAAUCCACGAUAAAUUUUACCUUAAUUUAAUGUUUGUAUAUCUCUGUCUGAUGAAUGUUUUAUUAGAAAAUUUUCGUUAAUUUUUAUGAAAUUUAUGUCAGGUCAAGGUGCAGUGAUAUUAAGGGUUGAAAUGGGUUACAAUUAAUUUGUAUUAUUGAAAUAUAAACAUUAAUUAUUGUUUUUAUGAAAUUGGAUUUAAUUGUAAUGUUUAAAAUAUAUUAUUCAUGAUAUAUGUUCUUGAUUAAGUACACAUCGCCCGUCGCUCUCAUUAUUAAAAUGAGAUAAGUCGUAACAAAGUAAUCCUAUCGGAAGAUGGGGUUAGAAUUAUA